ACUUGAUAUUUGAACAACUUCAUCAAGUAUACCAACGUCCAAAACUCCAGGAAUAAAGCCAGCACCAAUUCCUUGGAUCUUAUGUGGGCCAGGUUUCCCUCCAGACAACACAGCACUUUCAACUGGCUCUACACCAUAAAGCUUAAUAUCAGGGUUUUGCUCCUUAAGAUACUGCCCUGCACCUGUCACUGUACCCCCAGUCC
This 203-nucleotide unclassified non-coding RNA is filed under the name Hevea brasiliensis (rubber tree). Lineage: Eukaryota; Viridiplantae; Streptophyta; Magnoliopsida; Malpighiales; Euphorbiaceae. The record is from RNAcentral.